RNAcentral lists this small RNA (656 nucleotides) under Arabidopsis thaliana (thale cress). Its description in RNAcentral is "ATSL279310". Lineage: Eukaryota; Viridiplantae; Streptophyta; Magnoliopsida; Brassicales; Brassicaceae. The record is from RNAcentral.
AUAUUUUAAAAUUUUAUAAAUAUUGAUUCAAAUACAUCUACCAUGUAACCCAAUUCCAAAAUAAAACCUGUUCUAUAAUUUAUUUACCCGUCCUGUGAUUUUUUUUUAAAAUUAGUAAUUUUUAAAAUUUAAGAAUUCUUUUUUAUAUAUAAAAUUUUUGCAAAUUGUAUCAUUCUCUAAUACAUUUAUAUUUUAUAAUUUAAUUUUAUAUAUAGUAACAUUAUACAUACCACAUAACAUUUUUUGUUUUAUAUAAUCUUUUCUAAAUUAGGAUGAUUUGAUAUGUUUAAUAUUAGUGGUCUUAAAAAAUAAUAAAUUAAAGAUUUAACCCGUAUUGAAACGGUGGAUUAAUUAUAUUUUAUUUUUUAUUAAUGUUGAUUCAAAAACCCGUCACUCCAAAUCUGUCUUGCCAAAAAGCCAUUUAUUUUAUUAAUAUUAAUUUUACUAAUGAUAUGACUCUGAAUUAUAAUUUAAAUAUUUUAGCUGAUAACAUAGGAGUACACCAUAUUUAUUUAAUAGGGGAAUGUACCAUAUGACCCAAAUGCACUUUUACCCAAAUCCACCAAAAUAGUCUUGCAAAAAUACUAUAGAGAUAAGAAACGAUAGUCGGUUUUGAUAGGUAUAAGAUUAGCAAAUAUAUUAGUUAGCUUAAAUUA